ACUCCUACGGGAGGCAGCAGUAGGGAAUAUUGGACAAUGGGCGCAAGCCUGAUCCAGCCAUGCCGCGUGAGUGAAGAAGGCCCUCGGGUUGUAAAGCUCUUUUGUCCGGAAAGAAAAGCGCCGGGUUNAUACCCUGGUGUCCUGACGGUACCGGAAGAAUAAGCACCGGCUAACUUCGUGCCAGCAGCCGCGGUAAUACGAAGGGUGCAAGCGUUACUCGGAAUUACUGGGCGUAAAGCGUGCGUAGGUGGUUNGUUAAGUCNGAUGUGAAAGCCCUGGGCUCAACCUGGGAAUNGCAUUGGAUACUGGCNGGCUAGAGUGCGGUAGAGGGUNGUGGAAUUCCCGGUGUAGCAGUGAAAUGCGUAGAGAUCGGGAGGAACAUCNGUGGCGAAGGCGACUACCUGGACCAGCACUGACACUGAGGCACGAAAGCGUGGGGAGCAAACAGGAUUAGAUACCCUGGUAGUC
This 468-nucleotide ribosomal RNA is filed under the name uncultured bacterium. RNAcentral's name for it is "bacterial SSU rRNA". It matches the Rfam family "Bacterial small subunit ribosomal RNA", at positions 335 to 795 of the family's 1533-position model. The record is from RNAcentral.